AGCAAGUUGGCGCAGUGGAAGCGCGCCGGGCUCAUAACCCGGAGGUCCCCGGAUCGAAACCGGGACUUGCUA
Sclerotinia borealis F-4128 is the source of this 72-nucleotide transfer RNA. It matches the Rfam family "tRNA". From Rfam's summary of the family: Transfer RNA (tRNA) molecules are approximately 80 nucleotides in length. Their secondary structure includes four short double-helical elements and three loops (D, anti-codon, and T loops). The record is from Rfam. NCBI's taxonomy places the organism in Eukaryota, Fungi, Ascomycota, Leotiomycetes, Helotiales, Sclerotiniaceae.